AGCUCCAAUAGCGUAUAUUAAAGUUGCUGCAGUUAAAAAGCUCGUAGUUGGAUUUCUGGCUUGGUUCGCCUGGCCCGCCACGGUUACGUGUGUGAGUGCCGGUGUGGAUCUGCCAUCAUUCUAGGUCACAUUCAUACUCUUCAUUGAGCCGUGAAUGCUAUCUAGAUCUUUUACUUUGAAAAAAUUAGAGUGUUUCAAGCAGGCUUUUGCUAUGAAUACAUUAGCAUGGAAUAAUAAUUUAGGACUUCGGUUCUAUUUUGUUGGUUUCUAGAAUGGAAGUAAUGAUUGAUAGGGAUAGUUGGGGGUGCUAGUAUUCAGCGGCCAGAGGUGAAAUUCUCGGAUUCGCUGAAGACUAACUUAUGCGAAAGCAUUCACCAAGGAUGUCUUCU
RNAcentral lists this ribosomal RNA (389 nucleotides) under uncultured Cercozoa. Its description in RNAcentral is "SSU rRNA". It matches the Rfam family "Eukaryotic small subunit ribosomal RNA", at positions 587 to 972 of the family's 1831-position model. Lineage: Eukaryota; Cercozoa. The record is from RNAcentral.